Molecule: long non-coding RNA, 2887 nt
Organism: Monodelphis domestica (gray short-tailed opossum)
Lineage: Eukaryota; Metazoa; Chordata; Mammalia; Didelphimorphia; Didelphidae
Source: RefSeq, a predicted model, not a curated record
UUACCAGUUAUUUCCUCUUGGAUUUGCCGAGACUGGAGGAUUCCUUCCCGUUUCUGAAACAAGGGGGGAAAAGUGAUGAUUAAAAAAAAACUCAGCUCAGGGCUCAUAAGAUUGAGAAAGUUACCAAUGACUAAGAAGUACCCUCAGAGAAGAGUCAGGGCUUAGAAAGAAAAUUGGGCUCCAGGCUUUCAGUGAUGAGGAUUGUACAGUUUCCACUCAUAGGCAAUUAAAAGCUUUGCCUCAACAAAACCACCAAAUCUCAGAACUGGUACUUCAGGCACCACCCAACACUCUACCUGAAAAAAGAAUCUCUUCUACAAGACCUUCAGCAGAGUCUAAGUUUCUAUUUGGUUUUUCAUCUGCUGUGUCAUACAGUUGCUUCACAAUGAAGUAUGUGAUCUCCUAAACAGCAACAACAACAACAAUCUUUUUGGCUUUGUCCUCCUUUAUUGUAUUUGUGCACAAUUGACUUUUGGAGCCCAAGUGUAGGACUUAACAUCUCCCUCUAACCAAAUUUCACUUCUUCCAGUUCAGCCCACUAUUCACUAUUCCAAUUAGUGUCAGUGACACUGUCCCUGGCCUCUGAUGGUUCUGUAUUGUUUAGAAUUUUCUCAAUUUCUAGAUCUUGUUGAACACAUUCGAACCAACCUGUUAAAACAAUGAUGCAUGCCCUAACAAUUCUGCUGAACACCCUUGUUUGAAGGGUUAAUCUCUCAGAGUUAGGACCUUUUUGGAUCCAGAUACAUAUCAUCUAACAUCCUUAUUGGCUUCUAGGAAACCUGUAAGUUUACUAGGCACACAUGAAUUAGGUUUACAUAUAAAUCACUUAUAAAAAAAUGGGGCCAAGGAAAAUGCUAGUUGCUCUGCUUUUGAGUAUUCUAUACAUGGCUGUUUUUUCAAAGAUUGCUUUAUAGUAAAUUUUCUAUUAAAAAAUACUGCCUGCCUACCUCCAGGAAGGGUGUCCUACUACUUUCUGGGAGGGAGAAAAAUAGAGCAUGAGAAAGAAUAUCAGCUGUUGGUCAGUGGAAAGGAAGGGAAACCCCCAAAAGAGGCAAAUGUAAUGUCAAUGAAAAAAUUAGCAUUUCCUAAGGUAGGAAAUGAUUUUGGGGAUGUUGUGUUCUCCUGGAGUUAUGAUUCAUGUUGCAUGUAAACACUUAGUGAAAGUUGGGGAGCUGGUCCUUAUAAAAGCCAGAGUCAGCUUCUACUUUAUAAGGGGAGGAGCAUGGCAGGAUGGGAAGAAUUCUGUCUGCCAAGAAUAUGAAUUUCAAUUCCAGCCUUACUGCUUACUACCAAUGUGAUCUUAUUUAAGUUAUUUUUCUUCUCUGGGCUCAUUGAUAAAAUGAGAAGGAGCUGGAUUAGGAGGCCCCAAAAGUCCGCUCUAACUUAAUAGAUGAAUCAAACUUAAAACGACAAGAUAUUUAUCACACUUAAAUCAUGAGAAUGCAGAGUCAAAGGAGGGGGGAAAAGAUCUUCCUCAGAACCUAGGCCAUAUGGGCUAUACAUCACCUACCCACUUUUCCCUUCUAAUAUAUAUAUAUAUAUAUAACCUCAGUGUUUAAUUAUGUCUGAUCACUGAAGGCUUUGUACAAAGCAAGAACAUCUGGGUGAAAAUGACUCCUAAGUAGCCAGCUGAUUAGUGGGAACACAUUAGCACGUAUUUGUGCCUGGAAUAUUUCCUUUUGUAUUUCAAUAAAUGAAUUCCUGCUGACACCUCUGCCUUUAGCUUUGUGCAUGUUUAACUUGAUAAUGGAAAAAAAAAAACCUUUUAAAAUCUGAAUUGCCUCAAUGCCAUUUAUGUAAUAUGCCCUACUUUCUCUAUCUCUCUGACAAAACUGUAUUCAGGAGAAAAAAAAAACAACAACAACCCAACCAAGCCAGCUGAUGUCUUCUUUUGAACUCAGAAUAAGGCAUGAAAAAGGGAUUUGAAAUGGCUACAUCUUCAUAACAGCAAUCCAUUCUCUUCCCCAAUGCUCAUGCCAAGGGCUUGGAGAAAUAAUGUUGACUGAGAGACAUGCUAGAAAUUGCUAAGAUGACAUGAGAGUUCCCUUGGAGGCACAGUUUAUAAGCAAUUGAAAAUGUUGGGGAAAUUGUUGUAUGAGGUAAAAGAGGGAAUGGGAAAGUACCUCUGUAUGAGGUAAAAGAGGGAAUGGGAAAGUACCUCAGAGGUAAUCUGUUAAACCCUUAUUUAAAGCAUGAGUCCCCUCCUACAACAUCUUUGACUUCUAGUGGCAAGGAACUCACUCCUCAUGAGGAAACCCAUCCCAUUUUUGGACCACUCUAAUUGCUAGAAAAUCCUGAUACUGAGGGCUUCUCUGUAACUUCCCCUCACAGGUCCUAGUUCUGACCUUUGGAGAUAAGCAGAGAAAAAGAUUUCUACAAAUUAGUGAAGUAAGAAAGGUGAGCAAAAAGAAUGGACUGGGGUUAGACAAGGAAAGGAAGCUUUUAUUUUCUAAAGAGAAAAUGCUGCUUAGGAGCUACUAUACUCACAUAAUGCAUAUAAAGGCUCUGUAAGCAUCUAAGUGCUACAUAAAUGUCAGCUGUCAUUAUUAUUAUUGGUACCAUGCACUAGUACUGGACAAAUGGACUGUAAAGUUGUAUAUGGCACAGGAGGAACUUUCUGGGAUACCAGGCUUCUGGGAAAGGAGCCAAAGCCUUGACUUGGCUUGCAAAAAAGGAGCUUGGAAAAAAGAGAAAAGAACUCUGUUGUAUUGAUUUAGAAUUUUAAUCUUUACACUGUAGACCAAAGAGAAGAUAACUGCACAUCCCUUGUGGCCUCUCAUGGCCUUGGACUUUAUUAUCAUGGGGCCCUAACUCUUCUCUCUAUCCCAGGUCAAGACUCUCUCUCUCUCUCUCUCUCUCUCUCUCUCUCUCUCUCUCUCUCUCUCUC